GACGAACGCUGGCGGCGUGCUUAACACAUGCAAGUCGAACGGAAAGGCCCUGCUUUUGUGGGGUGCUCGAGUGGCGAACGGGUGAGUAACACGUGAGUAACCUGCCCUUGACUUUGGGAUAACUUCAGGAAACUGGGGCUAAUACCGGAUAGGAGCUCCUGCUGCAUGGUGGGGGUUGGAAAGUUUCGGCGGUUGGGGAUGGACUCGCGGCUUAUCAGCUUGUUGGUGGGGUAGUGGCUUACCCAGGCUUUGACGGGUAGCCGGCCUGAGAGGGUGACCGGCCACAUUGGGACUGAGAUACGGCCCAGACUCCUACGGGAGGCAGCAGGGGGGAAUAUGGCACAAUGGGCGGAAGCCUGAUGCAGCAACGCCGCGUGCGGGAUGACGGCCUUCGGGUUGUAAACCGCUUUCGCCUGUGACGAAGCGUGAGUGACGGUAAUGGGUAAAGAAGCACCGGCUAACUACGUG
Molecule: ribosomal RNA, 468 nt
Filed under: uncultured bacterium
Lineage: Bacteria
Description: partial 16S ribosomal RNA
Rfam family: Bacterial small subunit ribosomal RNA
Source: RNAcentral